AAAGCCUGCUUGCAGGCGUUGUAGUUGAGCGUCCUCGGGUUGUCAGUGUGGGCAAGUCGCAUGGAAAUGCGCGCCGUGGAGGGUGAGAGCCCCGUCCAACUCACACAGGACAUACCCGCACGAGGGCGUUUCAGAUGAGUCGGGUAGCUUGGGAAUGCUGCUCUAAUCGGUGGUAAAUCUCAUCGAAGGCUAAAUAGCGGCUGGAGACCGAUAGCGAACAAGUACCGUGAGGGAAAGAUGACAAGCACUUUGAAAAGAGGGUGAAAAGAGCCUGAAACCGUCACGGGGGAAGCGGAUUGCGUUGGAUUGAUGGGCGCUUGUGUGUUCAGCCUUCGGGUGCAUUGGCACAAGUGCUUAUCCGCUGUGAGUUUUCGGGGGUCGAUUUUGGACCCCUGGGGACUGAGGGCUCCCUUCUUUUAGGUGAGGACAGCGGAGUGACGACGCGAUACGACCCGUCUUGAAACACGGACCAAGGAGUCUAGCGCGGGUGCGAGUCGGAGGGUGCAAGCCCGUGGGCGAAGUGAAAGCGAGUUUUAAAAACGAGCAGUUUGGGGCGGCAUAAGAUCGUUGAUCUUAAGACCGACCCGGAGCAGUUGCGCUGGGACCCGAAAGAUGGUGAACUAUGCCGGAGUAGGGCAAAGCCAGAGGAAACUCUGGUGGAGGCUCGUAGCGGUGCUGACGUGCAAAUCGCUCGUCGAACUUGGGUAUAGGGGCGAAAGACUAAUCGAACCAUCUAGUAGCUGGUUCCCUCCGAAGUUUCUCUCAGGAUAGCGGGCCGACAAGUUGUUUUGUGCGGUAAAGCGAAUGAUUAGCGCAUUCGGGGGCGUUUAGCCUUUGGGCGAUUCUCAAACUUUCAAUGCGCAAGGGUGCCGCUGCUUAAUUGAGCGGUACCGGUAAAAACGUCGGCCCUGUGGGCCACUUUUGGUAAGCAGAACUGGCGAUACGGGAUGAACCGUAAGCAAGGUUAAGGCGCCAAACUGCCCGCUUAU
RNAcentral lists this ribosomal RNA (989 nucleotides) under Chondracanthus acicularis. RNAcentral describes it as "eukaryotic LSU rRNA". It matches the Rfam family "Eukaryotic large subunit ribosomal RNA", at positions 130 to 1204 of the family's 3401-position model. The record is from RNAcentral. Lineage: Eukaryota; Rhodophyta; Florideophyceae; Gigartinales; Gigartinaceae.